AAACGCAAUUUUAAUGUUUUAUUUUAAUUUUUGGUGACCUAUUUUUUUUUCGAUGUUGCUACGACCUCGUGCGCAAAAAUAAACAUGGAGAAACAUGUGCUUUGCAGCUUUAUCGGAACUGACAAUGUCCGCAGCGCUAUUUUUCCAAGUGAACGCAGUGUAAUGACAGAUAAGAGAAAGAGAAGUAUAUGUCUCAUUGGCUGCAGAGCUUUUGCAAACACUUUUUAACCAGUUUUUGCGUAUAUUUUGUUUGUGUACCAGCCUUCAAAUAUUCCUUCCAACAUGGUGGGCGGGGCUCCGUGGUUAAGCCGAGAGGCUUGAGCCCCAUGGCGUACUUCCACAUCGAUGGCAGUAAACGGAUGUCAUUGGUCCUUUUCAUGUGAAUUCAGAAGUUUUCGGAAUAAGACCAGUGUCAUAAGACUAGUUGGUGCUUUCCAGAAUAAAGGCACAAGAUGGCAGAGUAUGUUGUGACUGUCAAAAGGAGCCUCUUUAAGGAAGACGAGAGAUGUGCAAAGGCACAUAUCAAGCACUUGUCCUCACACUGCCUUGCCAAUGACCAAUGAAAUGGUUGACAACAGUAUCUGAAGAUCUUCGAAGUAGUUGAAUGUCAUACAGACCUCUGUCUAUGGCUGCUAAACUAACGCUUGGCAGUUUUAUGUGAAAAAUUCAAAAAUAUAGGAGU
Molecule: long non-coding RNA, 682 nt
Organism: Saccostrea cuccullata (small rock oyster)
Lineage: Eukaryota; Metazoa; Mollusca; Bivalvia; Ostreida; Ostreidae
Exons: 3
Source: RefSeq, a predicted model, not a curated record